AGUUAACGCUGGCGGCGUGCCUAACACAUGCAAGUCGAGCGAAGUAACUGGCGUAGCAAUACGAUAAGUGCUGAGCGGCAGACGGGUGAGUAAUACGUAGACAACCUUCCUCUUUAAGGGGGAUAGCCCACCGAAAGGUGGGGUAAUACCGCGUACGAUCGAGAGUCGGCAUCGAUUCUUGAUGAAACAUCCGCAAGGAUGGUAGAGAGACGGGUCUACGGCCUAUCAGCUAGUUGGUGAGGUAACGGCUCACCAAGGCAAAGACGGGUAACCGGCCUGAAAGGGUGGACGGUCACACUGACACUGAGACACGGGUCAGACACCUACGGGUGGCAGCAGUGAGGAAUCUUGGACAAUGGGGGCAACCCUGAUCCAGCGACGCCGCGUGAAGGAUGAAGGUCUUCGGAUUGUAAACUUCUUUUCUCUGGGAAUAAUAAAUCGAUAGAAAUAUCGAGAUUGAAUGUACCAGAGGAAUAAGCCACGGCUAACUUCG
RNAcentral lists this ribosomal RNA (493 nucleotides) under uncultured bacterium. RNAcentral describes it as "partial 16S ribosomal RNA". It matches the Rfam family "Bacterial small subunit ribosomal RNA", at positions 29 to 505 of the family's 1533-position model. The record is from RNAcentral.